Molecule: transfer RNA, 74 nt
Filed under: Phycisphaerae bacterium
Lineage: Bacteria; Pseudomonadati; Planctomycetota; Phycisphaerae
Also listed under: 1 other name
Description: tRNA-Cys
Rfam family: tRNA
About the family: Transfer RNA (tRNA) molecules are approximately 80 nucleotides in length.
Source: RNAcentral
GGCGGCGUACCCAAGUGGUCUAAGGGAACGGUUUGCAAAACCGUCAUUCGCGGGUUCGAAUCCCGCCGCCGCCU